AACGAACGCUGGCGGCAUGCCUAACACAUGCAAGUCGAACGAGACCUUCGGGUCUAGUGGCGCCCGGUUGCGUAACGCGUGGGAACCUGCCCUUAGGUUCGGCAUAACUCCCCGACAGGGGUGCUAAUACCGGAUAAUGUCUUCGGCCCAAAGAUUUUUCGCCUUUGGAUGGGCCCGCGUUGGAUUAGCUCGUUGGUAGGGUAAAAGCCUACCAAGGCGAGGAUCCAUAGCUGGUCUGAGAGGAUGAUCAGCCACACUGGGACUGAGACACGGCCCAGACUCCUACGGGAGGCAGCAGUGGGGAAUAUUGGACAAUGGGCGAAAGCCUGAUCCAGCAAUGCCGCGUGAGUGAUGAAGGCCUUAGGGUUGUAAAGCUCUUUUAACCGGGAUGAUAAUGACAGUACCGGGAGAAUAAGCUCCGGCUAACUCCGUG
RNAcentral lists this ribosomal RNA (433 nucleotides) under uncultured bacterium. RNAcentral describes it as "partial 16S ribosomal RNA". It matches the Rfam family "Bacterial small subunit ribosomal RNA", at positions 29 to 507 of the family's 1533-position model. The record is from RNAcentral.